GGUCUAAUAGCUCAACUGGUAGAGCACUGAACCAGCUUCACAGGGGUCAGGUUUGAAUCCCUGUUUAGGCCU
RNAcentral lists this transfer RNA (72 nucleotides) under Acropora cervicornis. Its description in RNAcentral is "tRNA-Ser". It matches the Rfam family "tRNA". From Rfam's summary of the family: Transfer RNA (tRNA) molecules are approximately 80 nucleotides in length. Their secondary structure includes four short double-helical elements and three loops (D, anti-codon, and T loops). Further hydrogen bonds mediate the characteristic L-shaped molecular structure. tRNAs have two regions of fundamental functional importance: the anti-codon, which is responsible for specific mRNA codon recognition, and the 3' end, to which the tRNAs corresponding amino acid is attached (by aminoacyl-tRNA synthetases). tRNAs cope with the degeneracy of the genetic code in two manners: having more than one tRNA (with a specific anti-codon) for a particular amino acid; and 'wobble' base-pairing, i.e. permitting non-standard base-pairing at the 3rd anti-codon position. Lineage: Eukaryota; Metazoa; Cnidaria; Anthozoa; Scleractinia; Acroporidae. The record is from RNAcentral.